Molecule: long non-coding RNA, 599 nt
Organism: Cydia splendana
Lineage: Eukaryota; Metazoa; Arthropoda; Insecta; Lepidoptera; Tortricidae
Exons: 3
Source: RefSeq, a predicted model, not a curated record
UUGAUCUGUCAGCUGUCAUUUUCAAUUCGGAUGAGAUGGUGUAGGUCGAUUCGUUUUCUUCAAAGGCCAGUGAGCAACAUUGUUUUUAAAUCGCGGUUUAAACCGCUUAAUCCUAUUCGAUGUGAAUCGUUUUGUCAAGAGUGAGCCCCGGGUGCAUGGAAAUUAUGCAAGUACCUAUCCUCCGAAGGCCUAUUGUCUGCCCCGGGGCUUCACGACUUACUACUUUACUAGUCCACGCGGUCGUCAGAGUCGAGCGUUUUACUGGUUUUACACAAUGUUCCUACUUCCACCACCUGGUCGCGUUGUCCCAAGCGCACCCUGAGGCUGUCUGCAGCUGAGAGUGGACUGGUGGGAGCAGAUCCGGACUGUUCCCCGGUACUUUCCCGGUUCGAAGUAUGGCGUCAGUGCAGGAGUGUGGUCUUGCAGACGAGGUCAGAGUAUUCCCUUUUAUUUUAUUAAGGCGCCCAAUAAUAAUAAUUUAGUAUUUUUACCUAUAAUUUACCAAGGUCUUCCAGCAUAUUGAAACACAGACUCACCCCCUGUGCUCUAAAUUAUUAUAUAUUUAAGUUACGACUGAGCUAGUUGCUAUUAUAAUAUUA